This 958-nucleotide ribosomal RNA is filed under the name Pseudomonas putida. RNAcentral's name for it is "bacterial SSU rRNA". It matches the Rfam family "Bacterial small subunit ribosomal RNA", at positions 301 to 1254 of the family's 1533-position model. Lineage: Bacteria; Pseudomonadati; Pseudomonadota; Gammaproteobacteria; Pseudomonadales; Pseudomonadaceae. The record is from RNAcentral.
CUGUUAAUUAUUUUGGUUACCGCCAUAACGGUCAAACUCCUACGGGAGGCAGCAGUGGGGAAUAUUGGACAAUGGGCGAAAGCCUGAUCCAUCCAUGCCGCGAGGGGGAAGAAAAUCUUCGGAUUGUAAAGCACUUUAAGUUGGGAGGAAGGGCAUUAACCUAAUACGUUGAUGUUUUGACGUUACCGACAGAAUAAGCACCGGAUAAACUUUGUGCCAGCAAGGCGCGGUAGUACUGAGGGUGCAAGCGUUAAUUGGAAUUACUGGGCGUAAAGCGCGCGUAGGUGGUUUGUUAAGUAGGAUGUGAAAGCCCCGGGCUCAACUUGGGAACUGCAUCCAAACCUGGCAAGCUAGAGUAGGGCAGAGGGUGGUGGAAUUUCUUGUGUAGCGGUGAAAUGUGUAGAUAUAGGAAGGAACACCAGUGGAGAAGGAGACCACCUGGGCUCAUACUGACUUGAGGUGCGAAAGCGUGGGGAGCAAACAGGAAUAGAUACCUUGAUAGUCCACGCCGUAAACGAUGUCAACUAGCCGUUGGAAUCCUUGAGAUUUUAGUGGGGCAGCUAACGCAUUAAGUUGACCGCCUGGGGAGUACGGCCGCAAGGUUAAAACUCAAAUGAAUUGACGGGGGCCCGCACAAGCGGUGGAGCAUGUGGUUUAAUUUGAAGCAACGCGAAGAACCUUACCAGGCCUUGACAUCCAAUGAACUUUCCAGAGAUGGAUUGGUGCCUUCGGGAACAUUGAGACAGGUGCUGCAUGGCUGUAGUCAGCUAGUGUCGUGAGAUGAUGGGUUAAGUCCCGUAACGAGCGCAACCCUUGUCCUUAGUUACCAGCACGAUAUGGUGGGCACUCUAAGGUGGUUGGUGAGGACGAUCAGGAGCAAGAUGAGGGAGACGUCAUGCCAUCUUCUACGUAGGCCCCGGUUGCAAAUUGAAAAAGAAGAAAAGAAAUUAAAAAAAAG